RNAcentral lists this ribosomal RNA (498 nucleotides) under uncultured bacterium. RNAcentral describes it as "bacterial SSU rRNA". It matches the Rfam family "Bacterial small subunit ribosomal RNA", at positions 28 to 530 of the family's 1533-position model. The record is from RNAcentral.
GAUGAACGCUGGCGGCGUGCCUCAAACAUGCAAGUCGAGCGGGGCUAUGUAAUAUCGCAAGGUAGAACAUAGCCUAGCGGCGAACGGGUGAGUAACACGUGGGUAACCUGCCUGGAAGACAGGGAUAACGAUUCGAAAGGGUCGCUAAUACCUGAUAAUAUCCUUUCAUCGCAUGGUGAUAGGAAGAAAGGGGAAACCCGCUUUCAGAUGGGCCCGCGUCCCAUCAGCUAGUUGGUAAGGUAAAGGCUUACCAAGGCGACGACGGGUAGCCGGUCUGAGAGGAUGUACGGCCACACUGGGACUGAGAUACGGCCCAGACUCCUACGGGAGGCAGCAGUUGGGAAUCUUAGGCAAUGGACGAAAGUCUGACCUAGCGACGCCGCGUGAGGGAAGAAGGCCUUGGGUUGUAAACCUCUGUCAUGGGGAAGAAGUAGUGACGGUACCCCAAGAGGAACGCCCUGCUAACUACGUGCCAGCCGCCGCGGUAAGGUACUCUAU